UAGAGUUUGAUCCUGGCUCAGAUUGAACGCUGGCGGCAGGCCUAACACAUGCAAGUCGAGCGGUAGAGAGGUGCUUGCACCUCUUGAGAGCGGCGGACGGGUGAGUAAUGCCUAGGAAUCUGCCUGGUAGUGGGGGAUAACGCUCGGAAACGGACGCUAAUACCGCAUACGUCCUACGGGAGAAAGCAGGGGACCUUCGGGCCUUGCGCUAUCAGAUGAGCCUAGGUCGGAUUAGCUAGUUGGUGGGGUAAUGGCUCACCAAGGCGACGAUCCGUAACUGGUCUGAGAGGAUGAUCAGUCACACUGGAACUGAGACACGGUCCAGACUCCUACAGGAGGCAGCAGUGGGGAAUAUUGGACAAUGGGCGAAAGCCUGAUCCAGCCAUGCCGCGUGUGUGAAGAAGGUCUUCGGAUUGUAAAGCACUUUAAGUUGGGAGGAAGGGCAUUAACCUAAUACGUUAGUGUUUUGACGUUACCGACAGAAUAAGCACCGGCUAACUCUGUGCCAGCAGCCGCGGUAAUACAGAGGGUGCAAGCGUUAAUCGGAAUUACUGGGCGUAAAGCGCGCGUAGGUGGUUCGUUAAGUUGGAUGUGAAAGCCCCGGGCUCAACCUGGGAACUGCAUUCAAAACUGUCGAGCUAGAGUAUGGUAGAGGGUGGUGGAAUUUCCUGUGUAGCGGUGAAAUGCGUAGAUAUAGGAAGGAACACCAGUGGCGAAGGCGACCACCUGGACUGAUACUGACACUGAGGUGCGAAAGCGUGGGGAGCCAACAGGAUUAGAUACCCUGGUAGUCCACGCCGUAAACGAUGUCAACUAGCCGUUGGGAGCCUUGAGCUCUUAGUGGCGCAGCUAACGCAUUAAGUUGACCGCCUGGGGAGUACGGCCGCAAGGUUAAAACUCAAAUGAAUUGACGGGGGCCCGCACAAGCGGUGGAGCAUGUGGUUUAAUUCGAAGCAACGCGAAGAACCUUACCAGGCCUUGACAUCCAAUGAACUUUCCAGAGAUGGAUUGGUGCCUUCGGGAGCAUUGAGACAGGUGCUGCAUGGCUGUCGUCAGCUCGUGUCGUGAGAUGUUGGGUUAAGUCCCGUAACGAGCGCAACCCUUGUCCUUAGUUACCAGCACGUAAUGGUGGGCACUCUAAGGAGACUGCCGGUGACAAACCGGAGGAAGGUGGGGAUGACGUCAAGUCAUCAUGGCCCUUACGGCCUGGGCUACACACGUGCUACAAUGGUCGGUACAGAGGGUUGCCAAGCCGCGAGGUGGAGCUAAUCCUACAAAACCGAUCGUAGUCCGGAUCGCAGUCUGCAACUCGACUGCGUGAAGUCGGAAUCGCUAGUAAUCGCGAAUCAGAAUGUCGCGGUGAAUACGUUCCCGGGCCUUGUACACACCGCCCGUCACACCAUGGGAGUGGGUUGCACCAGAAGUAGCUAGUCUAACCUUCGGGGGGACGGUUACCACGGUGUGAUUCAUGACUGGGGUGAAGUCGUAACAAGGUAGCCGUA
Molecule: ribosomal RNA, 1502 nt
Filed under: Pseudomonas fluorescens
Lineage: Bacteria; Pseudomonadati; Pseudomonadota; Gammaproteobacteria; Pseudomonadales; Pseudomonadaceae
Description: bacterial SSU rRNA
Rfam family: Bacterial small subunit ribosomal RNA
Source: RNAcentral